AAGUCGUAACAAGGUUUCCGUAGGUGAACCUGCGGAAGGAUCAUUACAAAUCAUAUAAGUGGGAGUCGAUUGGGGUUGCGGCCUUUAGGCUUGCGUCUCGAUUGACUCUAUUACUUUUGCGCUUGUUGUGUUUGACAGAGUAACAGUACCAAUUCAAAGAGACAACUUUUAACAAUGGAUCUCUUGGCUCUU
Molecule: unclassified non-coding RNA, 192 nt
Filed under: fungal sp.
Lineage: Eukaryota; Fungi
Description: partial internal transcribed spacer region
Rfam family: Eukaryotic small subunit ribosomal RNA (bases 1-46)
Source: RNAcentral